GGGGUUGCAGCUCAGUGGUAGAGCGCUUACCUCAUGUGUGAGACACUUGAGUUUGAUUCCCAGCACCACA
Molecule: transfer RNA, 70 nt
Filed under: Marmota monax (woodchuck)
Lineage: Eukaryota; Metazoa; Chordata; Mammalia; Rodentia; Sciuridae
Description: tRNA.Met
Source: RNAcentral